This 259-nucleotide ribosomal RNA is filed under the name uncultured bacterium. RNAcentral describes it as "partial 16S ribosomal RNA". It matches the Rfam family "Bacterial small subunit ribosomal RNA", at positions 8 to 269 of the family's 1533-position model. The record is from RNAcentral.
AGAGUUUGAUCCUGGCUCAGAUUGAACGCUGGCGGCAGGCUUAACACAUGCAAGUCGAGCGGGGAAGAGUAGCUUGCUACUUAACCUAGCGGCGGACGGGUGAGUAAUGCUUAGGAAUCUGCCUAUUAGUGGGGGACAACAUCUCGAAAGGGAUGCUAAUACCGCAUACGUCCUACGGGAGAAAGCAGGGGACCUUCGGGCCUUGCGCUAAUAGAUGAGCCUAAGUCGGAUUAGCUAGUUGGUGGGGUAAAGGCCUACC